This 468-nucleotide ribosomal RNA is filed under the name uncultured bacterium. RNAcentral's name for it is "partial 16S ribosomal RNA". It matches the Rfam family "Bacterial small subunit ribosomal RNA", at positions 28 to 507 of the family's 1533-position model. The record is from RNAcentral.
GACGAACGCUGGCGGCGUGCUUAACACAUGCAAGUCGAACGGAAAGGCCCUGCUUUUGUGGGGUGCUCGAGUGGCGAACGGGUGAGUAACACGUGAGUAACCUGCCCUUGACUUUGGGAUAACUUCAGGAAACUGGGGCUAAUACCGGAUAGGAGCUCCUGCUGCAUUGUGGGGGGUGGAAAGUUUCGGCGGUUGGGGAUGGACUCGCGGCUUAUCAGCUUGUUGGUGGGGUAGUGGCUUACCAAGGCUUUGACGGGUAGCCGGCCUGAGAGGGUGACCGGCCACAUUGGGACUGAGAUACGGCCCAGACUCCUACGGGAGGCAGCAGUGGGGAAUAUUGCACAAUGGGCGGAAGCCUGAUGCAGCAACGCCGCGUGCGGGAUGACGGCCUUCGGGUUGUAAACCGCUUUCGCCUGUGACGAAGCGUGAGUGACGGUAAUGGGUAAAGAAGCACCGGCUAACUACGUG